AUUGAACGCUGGCGGCAUGCUUUACACAUGCAAGUCGAACGGUAACAGGCCUUCGGGUGCUGACGAGUGGCGAACGGGUGAGUAAUGCAUCGGAACGUACCCAGAGGUGGGGGAUAACGCAGCGAAAGCUGUGCUAAUACCGCAUGUGAUCUGAGGAUGAAAGCGGGGGACCGAGCAGCAAUGUUUGGCCUCGCGCCUUUGGAGCGGCCGAUGUCGGAUUAGCUAGUUGGUGGGGUAAAGGCCUACCAAGGCGACGAUCCGUAGCUGGUCUGAGAGGACGACCAGCCACACUGGGACUGAGACACGGCCCAGACUCCUACGGGAGGCAGCAGUGGGGAAUUUUGGACAAUGGGCGCAAGCCUGAUCCAGCAAUGCCGCGUGCGGGAAGAAGGCCUUCGGGUUGUAAACCGCUUUUGGCAGGAACGAAACGGUGACCGCUAAUACCGGGCGCUAAUGACGGUACCUGCAGAAUAAGCACCGGCUAACUACGUG
RNAcentral lists this ribosomal RNA (492 nucleotides) under uncultured bacterium. RNAcentral describes it as "partial 16S ribosomal RNA". It matches the Rfam family "Bacterial small subunit ribosomal RNA", at positions 29 to 507 of the family's 1533-position model. The record is from RNAcentral.